This 387-nucleotide ribosomal RNA is filed under the name uncultured bacterium. RNAcentral describes it as "bacterial SSU rRNA". It matches the Rfam family "Bacterial small subunit ribosomal RNA", at positions 28 to 419 of the family's 1533-position model. The record is from RNAcentral.
GAUGAACGCUAGCGGCAGGCUUAACACAUGCAAGUCGAGGGGUAUAGUAGCAAUACUAGAGACCGGCGCACGGGUGCGUAACGCGUAUGCAACCUACCUUUUACAGAGGGAUAGCCCAGAGAAAUUUGGAUUAAUACCUCAUAGUGUUAUUAGAUGGCAUCAUUUGAUAACUAAAGUUCCAACGGUAAAAGAUGGGCAUGCGUCCUAUUAGCUAGAUGGUAAGGUAACGGCUUACCAUGGCUACGAUAGGUAGGGGUCCUGAGAGGGAGAUCCCCCACACUGGUACUGAGACACGGACCAGACUCCUACGGGAGGCAGCAGUGAGGAUAUUGGACAAUGGGCGCGAAGCCCUGAUCCAGCCAUGCCGCGUGCAGGAUGACGGUCCUA